This 795-nucleotide long non-coding RNA is filed under the name Rhinopithecus bieti (black snub-nosed monkey). RNAcentral describes it as "lncRNA (ENSRBIG00000046090.1)". The record is from RNAcentral. Lineage: Eukaryota; Metazoa; Chordata; Mammalia; Primates; Cercopithecidae.
CAAUUUGGCACAGUGCCGAUUGCUUUCCAGACCGAGGAAAGAACUGACAGUUGGAUGAAGAAAGGUUUUGUGGAGGAAGUGCUAAUAGCAUUGACCUUCAGGAAGACGUCCUAUGCUGUUGUAGGCAAUCCUGGGUUGGUUAUUAUAGAAAGUGCAGAGGAGAUCACUGGAUCAGAGGACUUAGGCAAAAAGCACAAGUGGGCGUUCCUGAGGAAGCCAGCAGAUGAACUGCCCCAAAUCCAGGAGUCGUCUUGCAGCCUAUUCUGAGCUCCUUCUCAGUUUGUGUACAGAACCUCAUAAACCAAGAUAGACGGGGACUAUGAGAUCUUAUGGCAUCUCAAGGGGCAGAAGUCUGGACAGGAAGACAAAUUGCAUGGUGGAGGAUUCCCAAAGUAGACCACGUGUGUGCCAGCCCAGCAGGCAAACUGCCCCGUAUGUGUUUGUCCAUCAACUAUGCGCGCAGAGCUUUACUCACGUGCAUGACACAGGAAGCCCAAGGGACACGUCCCCAGCAUGCCCCGCUUCCUCUGCACUCCUGGAAGGAAGACCUGUUCUUGUUUCUUCCGUACUCUCAGGAUCUGGCACAGAACCCGACAAAGGAUAUGACUUGCAGAUGUCGAGAUGGAACCUCACCAGGGCUUCCUUCUGAAAUGAAACUUCCAGAAAGCAGCAGACAGACCACAGAACAUCCUUCCUAGAAAAAGAAAAGCCGUCUAUAGACCAGCAACAGCUCUGAUCACAUGACUGCAAGCAAGGUUUCCAAAGAAAUCAAAAUGAUAGCUUAAAGAAUGCACA